AUGGCGUCGCCGCCGGCGACGUGGUCGGUCACCGCGUGCCUUACUUACCGUGGCGGGCUGGAGAUCCGCGCCGCCGCGAAGAACGUCCUCCCCGGCUGGGGCCACGGCGGCGAGCGCCUCUCCUUCCUCCUCCGCCUCCGCCGCCGCCUCCGCCUCGCCGUCACCUCCCAGUGCGGCCGCGCCCCCGCGCCCGCAGAUCCCGACAAGAAGCCGCGCGGCCUCAGGCUCCUCCGCUCCCUGCGGACCGGGCUCCCCUGCAUUUGGCGCCGGAAGAAGCCGCCGCGCGCCGCCGCGGCCAUGCCGGGUUCUCGCUCUCAGGCGAUCCCCUCUCUGCUGAAGGAUCGAGCUUUGAUGCGGCCGGCGACGACGGUGGCGCUGUGCUCCGUCGCCGCGCUCGCCGUCGCUGCGGCUUCUGUCGCGGCGCUUCGCCUCGUGGCUGGGUUCUUGACACCGAGCGCGAGCUGCGUAUCAUGGAGAUGCUUCUUGGCGAAGAAAUUCGUCAGGUUCUUGGGGCCUCCUCUCCUUGAGUGGAUCUCCGAGAUUAGCCUGAAACUUGUGGAUCCUCCUGCUCUCGGCGAGUGGCUCGGGCUCCCGAAGCUUGGCCUGAAGUGGCUCUUCAACAAGUAG
This 627-nucleotide ribosomal RNA is filed under the name Triticum aestivum (bread wheat). RNAcentral's name for it is "partial small subunit ribosomal RNA". The record is from RNAcentral. Lineage: Eukaryota; Viridiplantae; Streptophyta; Magnoliopsida; Poales; Poaceae.